RNAcentral lists this long non-coding RNA (677 nucleotides) under Homo sapiens (human). RNAcentral's name for it is "HSALNT0372806". Lineage: Eukaryota; Metazoa; Chordata; Mammalia; Primates; Hominidae. The record is from RNAcentral.
UUAUCAGCAUGAAAACAUCCUCAGAAUCACUGCUAUUUCCACAUUCUAGAGAGCGGAAUCGGAGUAGAAGACAGUUGUCAGUAGAAUCUCAGUGGAACUCAGAACAUAAUUGAUGUCAGGAAUCUGUCAACUCAAACAUUCACUGAAGGCCUACUAUGCAUAAGGAAUUGCGCAAGACCCCAGAGGAGGUUGAGUGACAAACUACUGAAAGAAAUGAGGAUUAUGUUACUUGGUGGAGGAAAAGAGAACUUCAGAGGAGAUACGAGAACUGUCUAAAAAAAAAAAACACAUGAAGGGCUUCCUGGCAGAAACAGAUUUGAUUUAUCCUCAGAGGCUCCAGAAGGCAGAGUUUAAUCAACUAGUUCAAUUCCUGAGAGGCUGAUUUUGGCUAAAAGAAGGAUGAAUUUUCUGAUAUAACUAUCCAGUAACAGUGAGGUAGCAAGUUCCUUCUCACCGAAUGUGUCAAACAAGGUUUGGGGGUGCUGUGGAGGGAUUCACAGGUCAAACAUACAAGAAAUCAGACCAGGCUGGGUGCGGUGGCUCACGCCUGUAAUCCCAGCACUUUGGGAGGCGGAGGCGUGUGGAUCACGAGAUAAAAGAUAAUGCCUGGACAUGCAGACUUCCCAUAAAUCCCACUGGUGUGGAGAACCCUUAAACACAGCCAGUUCAUAAGGAGA